RNAcentral lists this ribosomal RNA (484 nucleotides) under uncultured bacterium. RNAcentral's name for it is "partial 16S ribosomal RNA". It matches the Rfam family "Bacterial small subunit ribosomal RNA", at positions 28 to 507 of the family's 1533-position model. The record is from RNAcentral.
AUUGAACGCUGGCGGCAUGCUUUACACAUGCAAGUCGAACGGCAGCGCGGGCUUCGGCCUGGCGGCGAGUGGCGAACGGGUGAGCAAUGCAUCGGAACGUGCCCAGUAGUGGGGGAUAGCCCGGCGAAAGCCGGAUUAAUACCGCAUACGACCUGAGGGUGAAAGCGGGGGACCGAAAGGCCUCGCGCUAUUGGAGCGGCCGAUGUCGGAUUAGCUAGUUGGUGGGGUAAAGGCUUACCAAGGCGACGAUCCGUAGCUGGUCUGAGAGGACGACCAGCCACACUGGGACUGAGACACGGCCCAGACUCCUACGGGAGGCAGCAGUGGGGAAUUUUGGACAAUGGGGGCAACCCUGAUCCAGCCAUGCCGCGUGCGGGAAGAAGGCCUUCGGGUUGUAAACCGCUUUUGUUCGGGAAGAAAUCCUCUGGGCUAAUACCCCGGGGGGAUGACGGUACCGGAAGAAUAAGCACCGGCUAACUACGUG